This is an RNA transcript of Pan troglodytes (chimpanzee), 4553 nucleotides long. It is a transcript of the gene named Sp3 transcription factor, with no coding region annotated. NCBI's taxonomy places the organism in Eukaryota, Metazoa, Chordata, Mammalia, Primates, Hominidae. The record is from RefSeq and is a predicted model, not a curated record. The transcript is spliced from 8 exons.
GGCCGCAGCAGCACAGCCCCGGGGCUGAGCAGCGGUGGCCUCCUGGCAGCGCAGGGAAGCGGCGGCUCCAAGAGCGCGAGGCCCUGGGGAGAUCCGGCCAAGACUGCUGCCGGGAUGGAGGAAGCGUCCAGUGGAGCAGGAGUCACCGGGGACGAAUUUCCUCCCCAGCUCAGCUCCCCUACAGCUUGGCUAGGCCUGCUCCGAGCGCCUGCAAGGUGGAGGAGGCCUGCGCCUCGGGCCUGGCAGCGGCAGCCGGCGAGAGAGGCGGGCACAGCGGGGUAACCGGCGAGCCGUAGCCGCUCUCGAAAACCUACGCUACCACGGCCGCUCAUUGUCUCUCCCCUUCCACCCGGGGGCAAACAGGAAGCGCGCCGCCUGGCAGACCGACGGACAGGCGCCUGGACCAAUGAGCACAGCCGACAGAGAGCACGGCAGCGAAUGAGGGCCAAGAAGAGGGGCGGGAGUUCCGGGCGGGCUGUCACCCUCUUCCCCCCUUUUGGGCUGGAGGCUCCACCUUUUGUGUUUCCCGCACAGUCAAUCAAAAUAGGAAAAAAAAAAUCCCCGGACCGCUCCGGCCGUGUCCGCCGCCGCUUCCCGCAUCCUCUCCCGCCGCCGCCGCCUUCGCUCCUCACCAUGUGUAAGGCGGCGGGGAGCCCCGCCUGAGGUGCCCUAAACACACUAUGACCGCUCCCGAAAAGCCCGUGAAACAAGAGGAAAUGGCUGCCUUGGACGUGGAUAGCGUCGGCGGCGGUGGCGGCGGCGGCGGCCACGGCGAGUAUCUGCAGCAGCAGCAACAGCACGGAAACGGUGCGGUGGCGGCGGCGGCGGCGGCCCAGGACACUCAGCCGUCACCGCUCGCUCUGCUGGCCGCUACCUGCAGCAAGAUAGGGCCGCCAUCGCCGGGCGACGACGAGGAGGAGGCGGCCGCCGCAGCCGGGGCCCCCGCCGCCGCCGGAGCGACAGGUGAUUUGGCUUCUGCACAGUUAGGAGGAGCACCAAACCGAUGGGAGGUUUUGUCAGCCACACCUACAACUAUAAAAGAUGAAGCUGGUAAUCUAGUCCAGAUUCCAAGUGCUGCUACUUCAAGUGGGCAGUAUGUUCUUCCCCUUCAGAAUUUGCAGAAUCAACAAAUAUUUUCCGUUGCACCAGGAUCAGAUUCAUCAAAUGGUACAGUGUCCAAUGUUCAAUAUCAAGUGAUACCACAGAUCCAGUCAGCAGAUGGUCAGCAGGUUCAAAUUGGUUUCACAGGCUCUUCAGAUAAUGGGGGUAUAAAUCAAGAAAGCAGUCAAAUUCAGAUCAUUCCUGGCUCUAAUCAAACCUUACUUGCCUCUGGAACACCUUCUGCUAACAUCCAGAAUCUCAUACCACAGACUGGUCAAGUCCAGGUUCAGGGAGUUGCAAUUGGUGGUUCAUCUUUUCCUGGUCAAACCCAAGUAGUUGCUAAUGUGCCUCUUGGUCUGCCAGGAAAUAUUACGUUUGUACCAAUCAAUAGUGUCGAUCUAGAUUCUUUGGGACUCUCGGGCAGUUCUCAGACAAUGACUGCAGGCAUUAAUGCUGACGGACAUUUGAUAAACACAGGACAAGCUAUGGAUAGUUCAGACAAUUCAGAAAGGACUGGUGAGCGGGUUUCUCCUGAUAUUAAUGAAACUAAUACUGAUACAGAUUUAUUUGUGCCAACAUCCUCUUCAUCACAGUUGCCUGUUACGAUAGAUAGUACAGGUAUAUUACAACAAAACACAAAUAGCUUGACUACAUCUAGUGGGCAAGUUCAUUCUUCAGAUCUUCAGGGAAAUUAUAUCCAGUCGCCUGUUUCUGAAGAGACACAGGCACAGAAUAUUCAGGUUUCUACAGCACAGCCUGUUGUACAGCAUCUACAACUUCAAGAGUCUCAGCAGCCAACCAGUCAAGCCCAAAUUGUGCAAGGUAUUACACCACAGACAAUCCAUGGUGUGCAAGCCAGUGGUCAAAAUAUAUCACAACAGGCUUUGCAAAAUCUUCAGUUGCAGCUGAAUCCUGGAACCUUUUUAAUUCAGGCACAGACAGUGACCCCUUCUGGACAGGUAACUUGGCAAACGUUUCAAGUACAAGGGGUCCAGAACUUGCAGAAUUUGCAAAUACAGAAUACUGCUGCCCAACAAAUAACUUUGACGCCUGUUCAAACCCUCACACUUGGUCAAGUUGCGGCAGGUGGAGCCUUCACUUCAACUCCAGUUAGUCUAAGCACUGGUCAGUUGCCAAAUCUACAAACAGUUACAGUGAACUCUAUAGAUUCUGCUGGUAUACAGCUACAUCCAGGAGAGAAUGCUGACAGUCCUGCAGAUAUUAGGAUCAAGGAAGAAGAACCUGAUCCUGAAGAGUGGCAGCUCAGUGGUGAUUCUACCUUGAAUACCAAUGACCUAACACACUUAAGAGUACAGGUGGUAGAUGAAGAAGGGGACCAACAACAUCAAGAAGGAAAAAGACUUCGGAGGGUAGCUUGCACCUGUCCCAACUGUAAAGAAGGUGGUGGAAGCCUUCUCUAACUACUGGAGCCCACAUUGAUGUCUCCCUGUUCAGAACACCUAUGGCAUCUAACAGCCAGCACUGCACCGUUUAGCACUGUUUGUCCUAUGGCAAUUUCACAUGCUACUGAGUAGGUACCAAUCUUGGGAAAAAGAAGCAACACAUUUGUCAUAUACCAGGAUGUGGUAAAGUCUAUGGGAAGACCUCACAUCUGAGAGCUCAUCUGCGUUGGCAUUCUGGAGAACGCCCUUUUGUUUGUAACUGGAUGUACUGUGGUAAAAGAUUUACUCGAAGUGAUGAAUUACAGAGGCACAGAAGAACACAUACAGGUGAGAAGAAAUUUGUUUGUCCAGAAUGUUCAAAACGCUUUAUGAGAAGUGACCACCUUGCCAAACAUAUUAAAACACACCAGAAUAAAAAAGGUAUUCACUCUAGCAGUACAGUGCUGGCAUCUGUGGAAGCUGCGCGAGAUGAUACUUUGAUUACUGCAGGAGGAACAACGCUUAUCCUUGCAAAUAUUCAACAAGGUUCUGUUUCAGGGAUAGGAACUGUUAAUACUUCCGCCACCAGCAAUCAAGAUAUCCUUACCAACACUGAAAUACCUUUACAGCUUGUCACAGUUUCUGGAAAUGAGACAAUGGAGUAAAUAUUACACAAAUACUUAUUCAUUGUGGUUAUUUUUAUACAGUAGUGAGAAGAAUAUUGUUCCUAAGUUCUUAGAUAUCUUUUUAUUGAUGUGCAAAAAUUUUUGGAUUGACAGUAACUUGGUUAUACAUGACACUGAAAUGCCUUACUUUGUAUGAUAUUCCAUAGUAUAUUAAAAAUGGUAAAAUUGCAUGGGUUUUGUAGGUACUUUUGGAAUCUAGAAGAAAUGAAAUUUUACCAAGUUAUAUAAAGAGAAAAUUGAAUUUAACAAUGCGAAUGGUAGUCUAACCAAAUGCAUCAAUCCUGUGUGGUUUAGUGUAAAAAUGAGAACAUGUUGGUAUUUAUCUAUUGUAAGAUAAAAGAGCUGGUGGGUGAAAGAAAUCAUGUUAUGAUAAAAAAUUUUGUAAUUUUCUUGAUGACUGGAAUUUUUAUUAUGCAUAACUGACAAAUCAAGUUUCCAAGCAAAUGUUACAUAGUGUAGGCUUUACUUAGCUUAUCAAUUUGUCAUUUUGAAGCUAAUUAUUUUAAUUAGGUUAACUAUGUACAAUAUUUUAAGCAUUACUCUUGUAAGAUUUUGAAAACUACAUUUUAACAUGGAACUCUAGGGAUAGUCACCUUUUAAAUCCUGUUGAAAAGCCAUGUUUAAGAUUUAAUUUGCCAAAAUAAUGUCUUGUUAAUAUUCUUUCAAUAACGAAGUUGGGCAAUAUAACCAAUGUUUAAAAAAGUUUAAAAUGUAUAAGUUGAGGCAUUUGGGUGGUAAGAGAAUGUUAUAGUGAAUUAUCCCUUUUCUUGACUAUUGGAGGACCAAAAAAAUAAGGUGUAUUGCGUCUUAGCAGUGAUUUUUAUCCAAUCUUGUUUCCAAAAACCAUGUCUCCCAGGGCCUUAAAAGCCAUCAUGUAAAUUACCAGUAAAGUAUAACAUAUGCAAACAUAACAAAAUCACUUCCAUAGUGACGAUACUCCAUAUGGAUAUUAGUCAUAGAAGAACUAGAGGUUUUAUGAUAUUUUUUUAAGUCUUUUUUUUUUGUCUAGGUAGUCAGUCUGCACUUAAAUAUCAAUCAUUUUCCUUUUUUGCUUCUUCCCUUAAAAUUUAUAUGUAUCCAGUACAUUUAAUUGAGAAACGUAUGUUUUUUAUUAUGCUGUAUUUUCUUUUUAUUUUUUAAUUAUUGUUUAUAUUUUCAAUUCAAAAAUGUACAAAAUAAAGUUACAUUGCUGGUCUUGUAAGAGCUAUACAGUUUUCCUAAAUGUAUACCUGUAACUGCAGCAGUUCACCUAUUUCAAAAAUUUGGAAUUCUGUUCAUUUGUUAUUCUUAAGACCACCUCAAAUUUAAAGGCUACCUUAUUGUACGUUUAAAGUGUAUUAUAACAGUGUGGUAGUUAAUAAAACACUAUUUUUUUUUCUUUUGA